Molecule: long non-coding RNA, 338 nt
Filed under: Zostera marina
Lineage: Eukaryota; Viridiplantae; Streptophyta; Magnoliopsida; Alismatales; Zosteraceae
Description: long non-coding RNA (ZMAR_LNC001301)
Source: RNAcentral
AGAAGAAAUAGAAGAAAGAUCUACCAAUGUCGAAGCCCUGCAACCAAUGAAACUCUUCCCAACAAAGGCAGUAUGGAAGCAAGAAAUAUUCAGAAGUAAAAGAAACCGGUGGAGAUGCAGACCAAUGCAGAAAAAUGGAAAGAUCUACCAAUGUCGAAGUCCUGCAACCAAUGAAACUCUUCCCAACAAAGGCAAUAGAUGUAGACCGGCGGAAAAGAUGAAGAGAACUCGCUGGAGGACUAGAUGAGGAGAACUCGUCGGUGGAAGAGAUGAAGAGAAAUCGUCCAGAUUUGGAGAGAAAUUUGGGAGAACUCGUUGGUUUUGGGGUAGAAAUUUUU